GAGUUUGAUCUUGGCUCAGGAUGAACGCUGGCGGCGUGCCUAAUACAUGCAAGUCGAGCGAACAGACGGGGAGCUUGCUCCCCUGACGUUAGCGGCGGACGGGUGAGUAACACGUGGGUAACCUACCUAUAAGACUGGGAAUAACUCCGGGAAACCGGGGCUAAUGCCGGAUAACAUGUUGGACCGCAUGGUCCUACAGUGAAAGACGGUCUUGCUGUCACUUAUAGGUGGACCCGCGCCGUAUUAGCUAGUUGGUAAGGUAACGGCUUACCAAGGCAACGGAUACGUAGCCGACCUGAGAGGGUGAUCGGCCACACUGGAACUGAGACACGGUCCAGACUCCUACGGGAGGCAGCAGUAGGGAAUCUUCCGCAAUGGGCGAAAGCCUGACGGAGCAACGCCGCGUGAGUGAUGAAGGCCUUC
Molecule: ribosomal RNA, 423 nt
Filed under: uncultured microorganism
Description: bacterial SSU rRNA
Rfam family: Bacterial small subunit ribosomal RNA
Source: RNAcentral